UAUUCCUUAAGCAAUUUAUAGUCUUGCCUUUUCUGAUCUGAUGAGGAUGUACAUUCAGAUCACAAAGAUGAGGGUCCGGAUAUGACCACUAGCCAUCCUGAGGCACCUUAAGGUAUUAAUCAUUUCAUUGCUCCUGAUGCAUUUUGAUCAUAUGCACUUUUUAUUUACCUUGUUUCUUUUUUGCAGAUAUGGACCCUAGCUUGUUUCUGAAAGGUUUGAGUUUGAAGAAGAAAGCUUCCAUUUCUUUAUCUCAAUCUUCAACAGUUCCUGCCUCAACAGCCAAUGAUAAAUCUUAUGGCUUCAAAGUUUCUUCCUCGAAAGGUAGAGGAAAGAAGACUAAGCCUCAUCUUCAUUCUAUAGAGCCACUUUGAAAAGAAUAAGUCUUGGGAAGGCUCUUCCCUUUUAAAGAAGUCCUAG
This 417-nucleotide long non-coding RNA is filed under the name Ricinus communis (castor bean). RNAcentral describes it as "long non-coding RNA (RCOM_LNC002473)". The record is from RNAcentral. Lineage: Eukaryota; Viridiplantae; Streptophyta; Magnoliopsida; Malpighiales; Euphorbiaceae.